This 238-nucleotide ribosomal RNA is filed under the name uncultured bacterium. RNAcentral's name for it is "partial 16S ribosomal RNA". It matches the Rfam family "Bacterial small subunit ribosomal RNA", at positions 29 to 248 of the family's 1533-position model. The record is from RNAcentral.
AACGAACGUUAGCGGCGCGCUUAACACAUGCAAGUCGCACGAGAAAGGGCUUCGGCCCCGGUAAAGUGGCGCACGGGUGAGUAACACGUGGAUAAUCUUCCCUCGGGCGGGGGAUAACAUUCCGAAAGGAGUGCUAAUACCGCAUAAGACCACGAUUCCGAAAGGAGUUGAGGUAAAAGACCGGCCUCUAUAUAUAAGCUGGCACCUGAGUUCGAUGAGUCCGCGUCCCAUCAGCUAG